CAAUAAACGAGGGCAUACUGCAGUGAACUGUUUUCACAUAAAUACGAGCAAUACAACACCUGGUUUUAUUGUGGAGUGUCAAAUAUGUGGCAAAAGAGGACAUUCUGCUCUUGACUGUUUCCAUAGAGCCAAUUACACUUAUCAAGGACAGCCACCUCCAUCUUCCCUAUCUGCCAUGAAUGCACAACAAACAUCUCAGGUCCUUCCUCCGGAUUCGUGGAUUGUGGACUCGGGUGCGUCACACCACAUGAUUGCCGAUAUAAAUGCAUUAAAUCAAGUGGCUUCUUAUCAAGGUUCUGAUAAUAUAACCAUUGGACAAGAAGACAAGGGAGGUGGUGUAUCACGGAAGGAGUAAACCAGAAGAGUUGUUUCAGAUUCCGGUGGUUAAAGUUUCUGGAAGGCUAGAAUUUGUUACAAGAGAUCCAAUGGUUUACUUAGGGAAAAUGGUGAAAUCAGAUAUUUGGCAUCAACGAUUAGGACAUCCAGCACAUGAUACAAUGGCAGCAAUGUUAAGACAGUCUAAAGUUGUACACAAGAUAGAUAAUACAUGUACUACUUGUACUUCUUGUAUUCAAGGAAAAAUGUCUAGAGUACCUUUUCCGGUUAGAAAUAACAGAUGUGUGGUUCCUUUUGAGAAAGUUCAUACUGAUGUUUAGGGUCCAACUCCUGUAAAGUCUGUGGAAGGUUUUAGAUACUAUGUACUGUUUGUUGAUGAAUAUACAAGAUUUACUUGGAUA
Malus domestica (apple) is the source of this 737-nucleotide non-coding RNA. NCBI's taxonomy places the organism in Eukaryota, Viridiplantae, Streptophyta, Magnoliopsida, Rosales, Rosaceae. The record is from RefSeq and is a predicted model, not a curated record.